RNAcentral lists this ribosomal RNA (468 nucleotides) under uncultured bacterium. RNAcentral describes it as "partial 16S ribosomal RNA". It matches the Rfam family "Bacterial small subunit ribosomal RNA", at positions 28 to 507 of the family's 1533-position model. The record is from RNAcentral.
GACGAACGCUGGCGGCGUGCUUAACACAUGCAAGUCGAACGGAAAGGCCCUGCUUUUGUUGGUUUCUCGUUUGGCGAACGGGUGAGUAACACGCGAGUAUCCUGCCCUUGACUUUGUGAUAACUUCACGGAACUGGGGCUAAUACCGGAUAGGAGCUCCUGCUGCAUGGGGUGGGUUGGAAAGUUUCGGCGGUUGGGUGUGGGCUCGCUGGGUAUCCGCUUGUUGGGGGGGUAGUGGCUUACCAAGCUUUUGACGGGUAGCCGGCCUGAGAGGCUGACAGGCCACAUUGGGACUGAGAGAAGGCACAGACUCGUACGGGACGCAGCAGUGGGGAAUAUUGCAGAAUGGGCGGAAGCCUGAUGAAGCAACGCCGCGUGUGGGAUGACGGCGUUCGGGUUGUAAAACGAUUGCGCAUGUGACGAAGCGUGAGUGAAGGUAAUGGGUACAGAAGCACCGGCUAACUACGUG